GUGAGGAAUAUUGGUCAAUGGACGGAAGUCUGAACCAGCCAUGCCGCGUGAAGGAUGAAGGCGUUCUGCGUUGUAAACUUCUUUUAUCAGAGAAGAAACCACUGAUUUCUAUUAGUGUUGACGGUAUCUGAUGAAUAAGCACCGGCUAACUCCGUGCCAGCAGCCGCGGUAAUACGGAGGGUGCAAGCGUUAUCCGGAUUUACUGGGUUUAAAGGGUGUGUAGGCGGGCUAUUAAGUCAGGGGUGAAAUCCCGGGGCUCAACCUCGGAACUGCCUUUGAUACUAUUAGUCUUGAAUUAUGUUGAGGUUGGCGGAAUAUAACAUGUAGCGGUGAAAUGCAUAGAUAUGUUAUAGAACACCGAUUGCGAAGGCAGCUGGCUAAACAUAUAUUGACGCUGAGGCACGAAAGCGUGGGUAGCGAACAGGAUUAGAUACCCGGGUAGUCC
Molecule: ribosomal RNA, 445 nt
Filed under: uncultured bacterium
Lineage: Bacteria
Description: partial 16S ribosomal RNA
Rfam family: Bacterial small subunit ribosomal RNA
Source: RNAcentral